GUGGCUUGAAUCCAAAAAAUAAAUUAUAAAACAAAGAAUUCAUUUUGACGUUUGCAGUUAUAAAAUUGAGAACGUCCUAAACAUGUUUUCAAACGAAUUACAAAUUAAAUUAAAAAAUAAAUCCCAAAACAAAAUCUAAAAGUUAUCUUCCUCCCCCAAAAUCUUAUCCCCUCCCUCUGGUUAUCUCGUCACAGCUCUCCCUUCGUGGUUGAAACCUCUCCUUCGACCACAAUCCACUUGGAUCGUGCACAAAUCUCUCUCUCUCCUUCCUCUUUAUCUCGGUCUACUUCACAGCUCUCUCCCCUCGGUGGCUGUUACUCGUUCAUCGACCGCAAUCCACCGUCACAACUCUCUCUCUCUGUGCCCUAAAUUGGCUGCUGUUCCAUCUCUGUUGCUACUGUUGCCCCGUCUCCGCUGUUGCUACUUCGUCUCUGCCCAGUCUCGACUAUUGCUUCUGCUGCUCUUUGCUUCAUUUAUGCUCCAUCUCUGCUCGCUUGUACUAGUCUUCAAUUUUUUGAUUUGAGUAAAUUGUGAGUGUUGUUUUUUUUGUUUAUUUUAAACCCAAAUCAUAUUCGUUCAAUUUUUUAGACAAAUAGAAUGUUUGUCUCUUGAGCUCUGCAUUUGUAUCUUAUUUAAGGAUUGUUAGAAAAAGAACGAUUUGAUGUUGGCUGGAUUUGUGAGAAACGAAACACAUAUCUAUUUAGAUGCCCAUAUGAGAAAUAUGAGAAUAAAAGAAAUUAGGAUACCUAUCCAAUGAGUUAAAUUCUGUGCUUGGUGGCUCAAUGAAAGUAGUUCAAAUUGAAAUUUGAUUGGAAAGCCUUUUAUGAGAAUUGUGCGACAAAGGAAAGAACCUUUUUCCUAGAGUUUUUAUUAUUUUUUUGACUCAAAAGUCCUUAGAUCCUAAUUCUUAUUUCUUGUAUGAGCUCUCUUACUUAUAUUCGCAUUGACUACAAUCGUAUGAAUUUGAUUGAGAAGUGUUUGGUCAUAUGAAAAAAUAAUUAUAAUAAUAAAAGCAAAAUAAUCUGCUCAAUUAUUAUAAUAAAUGGUGUGCAAAAUUCUGUUUGUUCUUGUGCAUCUGUGCAUUCAUGUGUCGAAUUUGAAUUAGCAAUUCAAAAUGAUAGCUUGUUAACAAAAUUAUGUUUGUUUAGCUGGGUGAAUAACCCUCACUAGAUUACUACUUUACUUGCUUAGAUAGGUCACACAUUUGAACUUCCUUAUUGAAAAUAUACUACUGGUCACCAAAUUGAUUAUUUGACACCGCUUGCUGUUCGCUUAAACCCUCUUUUAAAUCCCUCAAAGAAAGCCGCCCAGAGCACCUUUAAAAACCCUAAAAUAAUGACAAUAUUAUCAAUUAGCUUUUAAAUUAUUAAUGAAUCAGUUGAAACAUAUUUAAAAAUAUUUUUACAUCUAGGCAAAAUAAAAUCAGCAAUAAUAAAACUUGACAAACAACAUUUCACUAAAAAUAAUAGAGAUUCAAUUCAAAUUUAAUUAAUAAAUUAAUUUAUAAUUUAAAAUGACACAAUAUUAAUUAAUAAUAAAAAUAUUCAAUAUUAAUUAAUAAUAAAAAUUCUAUUUAAUUGAAAUGAAUUUAAUGUUGUAUAAUAGUACAAGGUAAAUUCGCGUUUAUUACUUAUAUUUCGAUUUAAGUGUACUUAAUCUCUACAUUUUUUAAAACACCUUAAGACAACCUUAUUCUUAAGUAUAUAAUACUCUUACCCUUACUUUUUCUUUGAUUUUACAAUAUUACCUUUAUUACAAUAUUCUUGAAAUUAAUCAAUUUAUCUAUUGUUAAUUAGUAGAUUAACCAAUAAAUGUCUAUCUAAAAGAACUAGUAUUUUUUGUGUCCUUGCAAUGAUUUUGCUAAUUAUUAAUUUAUUAUUUAUAAAUAAAUUAAUAUCAGUCAGCUUCAAGCAAUGUUUAAUAUCCUUACAAUAAUUAUUUUAUAAACAAAUUAAUUUACAAAAUUAAUCCUCAAAGAACAAUAAUAACAAAAAAAUCUACUCUAAUUUCUAUUUUCUUUUAAUGUUGAUUUAGUAAGUUAACACUUUUUCAUUAAUAUCCCCAAAAAAAUUAUUGCAAGGAUAUAUUGUAAAAGUAAAUAAAAAUAAGGGUAGGAAUAUAACAUGUUUAAUAGCAGGUUGUCUUGAGUUUUUUUUUUUAAUAUAGAGAUUAAACGACUAAUUAACUCAAAAUAUAAGUAUUAAAUGAGUAUUUACUCGUAGUGUAAUUCAAAUAAAAUUUACAUUGUAGUUCUUGUGGACAUUUUGAUGUAUCGUGCUUUAGCCCAUCUAACAUCGUGACACCCUAAAAAUCUAGACCGAUCUGAUCUGUCUAUAGGCCAUGCUAUAUCAAGUGCCUUAAACGAAGCAUGCUCAUCCCGUGUCGUGCUAUACGGAUGCGUGUCUUGUUCCGCUGCAUAUCUUAUUGCACAUCUUUAGUUUUAUAAUGCUAAGCAAAUAUUAGACUCAAGAAUACAAUGGGUUGAGCUAUUUACAUUUUGCAGUGUCCAUUUUCUUAUUUCAUAGGUCAGGUUAUGUUUGCAUCUACGACUUUUAUAAUAAGUCAUUAUCUUACAACAAGCAUAGAGUUUUGAAUAUGUAGUAUGAUUUCAUUGAAUGUAAUAUGUAUUAUAAAGGCUCUCAAAAUUUUAUAGUAAUUUAGCUCCUUUUUAGUAACAAGGUGUUGUGCUUGUUAUGCUAUAUUGUCAAACUAUGAUCGCAUGAUAAAACAAUAAUAUUUUUGUAAAUUUAUUAAAUUAAUAUUAUUAAAAAAUGAAUUAAAUAAAGAAAAGAAAAAUAGUUGGGAUGUGGUGUUGUAAGAUGUUGCUUCAUAACCAAAUUUCCUUUAACUACAACAAUUAUAGAUUUGCUUCAAACAUAGCUUAUAGCAUUGCAUUUUUCAGCCGUUGUAAUAGUUGCUGUGUGUGUUAUUUGUAGAAUUAUAGGGCCCGUUUGGUACCGUUUUUUAGGCCUUAUUUUCGUUUUUGUUUUGGGAGUACAAACAUAACAUAUGUUUGGUGGCUUGAAUCCAAAAAAUAAAUUAUAAAACAAAGAAUUCAUUUUGACGUUUGCAGUUAUAAAAUUGAGAACGUCCUAAACAUGUUUUCAAACGAAUUACAAAUUAAAUUAAAAAAUAAAUCCCAAAACAAAAUCUAAAAGUUAUCUUCCUCCCCCAAAAUCUUAUCCCCUCCCUCUGGUUAUCUCGUCACAGCUCUCCCUUCGUGGUUGAAACCUCUCCUUCGACCACAAUCCACUUGGAUCGUGCACAAAUCUCUCUCUCUCCUUCCUCUUUAUCUCGGUCUACUUCACAGCUCUCUCCCCUCGGUGGCUGUUACUCGUUCAUCGACCGCAAUCCACCGUCACAACUCUCUCUCUCUGUGCCCUAAAUUGGCUGCUGUUCCAUCUCUGUUGCUACUGUUGCCCCGUCUCCGCUGUUGCUACUUCGUCUCUGCCCAGUCUCGACUAUUGCUUCUGCUGCUCUUUGCUUCAUUUAUGCUCCAUCUCUGCUCG
RNAcentral lists this long non-coding RNA (3509 nucleotides) under Citrus sinensis (sweet orange). RNAcentral describes it as "long non-coding RNA (CSIN_LNC004686)". Lineage: Eukaryota; Viridiplantae; Streptophyta; Magnoliopsida; Sapindales; Rutaceae. The record is from RNAcentral.